Molecule: ribosomal RNA, 274 nt
Filed under: uncultured bacterium
Lineage: Bacteria
Description: partial 16S ribosomal RNA
Rfam family: Bacterial small subunit ribosomal RNA
Source: RNAcentral
AUACGGAGGGUGCAAGCGUUAAUCGGAAUUACUGGGCGUAAAGCGCGCGUAGGCGGUUAUUUAAGUCAGAUGUGAAAUCCCUGAGCUCAACCUAGGAACUGCAUCUGAUACUGGGUAACUAGAGUUUUGGAGAGGUAAGUGGAAUUUCCGGUGUAGCGGUGAAAUGCAUAGAGAUCAGAAGGAACACCAGUGGCGAAGGCGACUUACUGGCCAAAAACUGACGCUGAGGUGCGAAAGCGUGGGUAGCAAACAGGAUUAGAAACCCUAGUAGUCC